Molecule: long non-coding RNA, 37188 nt
Organism: Pan troglodytes (chimpanzee)
Lineage: Eukaryota; Metazoa; Chordata; Mammalia; Primates; Hominidae
Exons: 4
Source: RefSeq, a predicted model, not a curated record
UUACCCACUCAUUGAUUGAUGGGCAUUUGGGUUGGUUCCACUAUUUUGCACUUGUGAAUUGUGCUGCUAUAAACAUGCGUGUGCAAGUAUCUUUUUCGUAUGACUUAUUUUCCUCUGGGUAGACACCCAGUAGUGGGAUUGCUGGAUCAAAUGGCAGUUCUACUUUUAGCUCUUUAAGGAAUCUCCACAGUGUUUUCCAUAGUGGCUGUAAUAGUUUACAUUCCCACCAGCAGUGUAGAAGUGUUCCCUGUUCACCGCAUCCCCGCCAACAUCUACUGUUUUUUUUUUUAUUUUUUGAUUAUAGCCAUUCUUGGAGGAGUAAGGUGGAAUUGCAUUGUGGUUUUGAUUUGCAUUUCCCUGAUAAAUAGUGAUGCUGAGCAUUUUUUCAUGUUUGUUGGCCAUUUGUAUAUCUUCUUUUGAGAAUUGUCUAUUCAUGUUCUUAGCCCACUUUCUGAUGGGAUUGUUUGUUUUUUCUUACUGAUUUGUUUGAGUUCGUUGUAGAUUCUGGAUAUUAGUCCUUUGUCAGAUGUAUAGAUUGUGAAGAUUUUCUCCCACUCUGUGGGUUGUCUGUUUACUCUGCUGACUGUUCCUUUUGCUGUGCAAAAGCUCUUUAGUUUAAUUAGGCCCCAGCUAUUUGUCUUUGUUUUUUUUUUUUGCAUUUGCUCUUUGGUUCUUGGUCAUGAAAUCCUUGCCCAAGCCAAUGUCUAGAAGAGUUUUUCCAAUGUUAUCUUCUAGAGUCUUUAUAGUUUCUGGUCUUAGGUUUAAUUCUUUAAUCCAUCUUGAGUUGAUUUUUGUAUAAGGUGAGAGAUGAGGAUCCAGUUUCAUUCUCCUACAUGUGGUUUGUCAAUUAUCCCAGAACCAUUUGUUGAAAAGGGUGUCCUUUCCCCACUUUGUGUUUUUGAUUGCUUUGUCGAAGAUCAGUUGGCUGUUAAAUAUUUGGGUUUAUUUCUGGAUUCUCUAUUCUGUUCCUUUGGUCUAUGUGCCUAUUUUACACCAGUACCAUGCUGUUUUGGUGACUAUGGACUUCACUUCUUGUAUCAUUUUUUGGAUUUCCUUGCAUUGGACUUCUCCUUUCUCUGGUCCCUCUCUGAUUAGCUGAAUAACUAACCGCCUGAAUUCUUUUUCAGGUGAAUCAGGGAUUUCUUCUUGGUUUGGAUCCAUUGCUGGUGAGUUAGUGUGAUUUUUGGGGGGGUGUUAAAGAGCCUUGUUUUGUCAUAUUACCAGAGCUGGUUUUCUGGUUCCUUCUCAUUUGGGUAUUCUCUAUCAGAGGGAAGUUCUAGGGCUCAAGGCUGUUAUUCAGAUUCUUUUGUCCCACGGGGUGUUUCUUUGAUGUAGUUAAUACUCUCCCCCUUUUCCUAUGGAUGUGGCUUCCUGUGAGCUGAGAUGCUGUGCUUAUUAACUCUCUUCUGGGUCUAACCACCCAGCACAUCUACCCGGCUUCAAGCUGGCAGUGGGGGUUGUCUGCACAGUGUCCUGUGAUGUGAACCAUCUGUGGGUCUCUCAGCCGUGGAUACCAGCACCUGUUCUGGUGGAGGUGGCAGGGGGGUGAAAAGGGCUCUGUGAGGGUUCUUAGCUUUGGUGGUUUAAUGUUCUAUUUUUGUGCUGGUUGGCCUCCUGAUGGGAGGUGGUGCUUUCCAGAGAGCAUCAGCUGUGGUAGUAUGGGGAGGAACAGGUGGUGGGCAGGGCCCCAGAACUCCCAAGAGUAUAUGCUCUUUGUCUUAAGGUACCAGAGUGGAUAGGGAAGGCCCAUCAGGUCGGGGCAGGGCUAGGCAUGUCUGAGCUCAGACUCUCCUUGGUUGGGUCUUGCUGUGGUUGCUGUGGGGGAUGGGGGUGAGGUUCCAGGUCAAUGGAGUGGUGAAUCUAGGAGGAUUAUGGCUGCCUCUGCUGAGUCAUGGAGGUUGUCAGGGAAGUAGGAGAGAGCCAGCAGUUACAGGCCUCAUCCAAUUCCAUGCAAUCUGAAGGGCUGGUCUGACUCCCACUGUGGCCCCACUAACAGCACCGAGUCUGUUUCCAGGCAGUGGGCGAGCAGGGCUGAGAACUCGCCCCAGGCUACCCACCGCCCCCUAGCUGCAAAAGCAAUUAGGGCUUUCAUUCUUCCCCAGCCUGUGGAGUCUGCACACCAGAUCUCACCCUCCCCUGAGUUCUGGCCAGGAGGCUUCUCGCCUGGUUCAAAUUGUUACAAAGUUCGGCUGGAGAAUUCCUUCUCCCUGUUGCAUUUCCCCCGCCCUGCACCUCCGGUCACCCCGCCAAAAGAUCCUUGUGUUGCCACGCAGGAAUGGGCUGCUUGGGGACCCAGCGAGCUCCCAGAGCCUUUCCCGCUGCUUCCUCUACCCCUGUAUUUCACUCUGCUCUCUAAAUUGACUCAGCUCCAGGUAAGGUUGGAAACUUCUCUCGAAAACUAGACCUUCAGUUUCCCCAGUGGGGGUGUGUGCUCGGGGGCAGAGGAUCUUCCUUUCCCAUUUCCACUGUUGGGGCACUCACAGUAUCCGGGGUGUCUCCCAGGUCCUGCAGCUGUCUGCUUCCUUCAGAGGGUCGGUGGGUCCUCUUGGGAUUCCUGGUUUGUUCUGGAUCUAAAAUUAAUGAUGUGAGCCUCCACACACUGCUCGGUCCAUCUGAGUCGGAGCUGCAAUCUAGUCCUGACUCCUGUCUGCCACGAUGAUCCACGAUGCUCUUUUUUUAAAAAAAAAAAAAAAAAAAAAGAAAAAUCUUUUUAGAGUAAGGGUCUUGUUCUGCCACCCAGGCUAAAAUGCAGUUGUAUGGUCAUCACUCACUGCAGCCUCAAAUUCCUGGACUCAAUUGAUCCUCCUGCCUCAGCCUCCCGAGUAGCUGGGACUACAGGUGCGCACCACCAUGCUCAGCUAAUAUUUAAAACUUUUAUUUAAUUUUUUCUUGUAGAGAUGGAGUCUCGCUAUGUUGCCCAGGCUGGUUUUGAACUCCUGGCUCAAGCCAUCUUCUCACCUUGGCCUCCCAAAUCACUGGGGUUGCAAGCAUGAGCCACUGCACCCAGUCAGGACGUUCUCACAUUAGUCCUUAUGGAUCAUAGUCUGCCCUUGAAAAUACUAAAAUUAUAGUCCUUUGAGAAGAGUUUCCAACUAUGGCUUUUCACUUUCACACACAUUGUCCCUACUCCCCUCCAGGCCCCGACACUGAUCUGAUUUUGUGAGGUUUAAGUGUACCUGUUUUUGAGCGUUUUGUAGCAUAUUGCUGGGAUGGAGUGGGAGGGUUGGAAGUGGUGAGCAACGUUUUCCUGCAGGUCAGCCAAAUCAGCCAAACUCAUGUUUACAGAUCGCUUAACAAAAGUCAAAGUGAAACCACCUCACUGGAUCCCUCAGAGAAAAGAAAUGCAGAUUUGUUUUACUUGGACAACCUAAUAUUUGAAUAAAAACAUCUCCGAAGUCCUUGCCCAGUCACUAAGAUGGCAAUGGCCAGGUCCGCGUGAAGCUGUCCCAGGCAACCUUCUGGGGCCUGUGCCUUGAGUAGACAGCUGGCCCUGAGCUCUUGGCCACUCGAGCCAUCUCCAGGACCCCCUUGGCAGGAACAUCCAGGAGUACACUCAAGCCCCAAGUUCUGUUGCAGAAAAGGCUCUGUGUGCUCUGUCAUCUCAGCUGCUGGGGCAUCUCCCAGGCUGUCAGGGGUCAGGGUUCCCCCAAGCCCAGGUGUGCCCAGGUCAGGCAUCUCUGGAAAGACCACAUGCUGGCUAUGGGUAGACACCCUGAGGGACUGGGCAUGCCCACGGGGGCCUGACUCUGCAGACUGGGUGCAUCUCCCUCUGGCUCCCACCCCAGGAGAAGGUUUCCAUGGAGUCGCAGCACUUUUCCUAGCAGGGGCAGGGGCUGGGGAAGGUCCGGCCCCACCUGGCUCAGGACAAUGCCUCUUGGUGACAACAUGGUCUUCGUGCUUGGUCCCCCCCACUUUUUUGUGACUGGUCCACAUUGGCUCAAAGAAGCUUCCCUCUCGUGGGAGAGACUUGGUGGAACAACACUGGAAAUAUGGGCAGGGGCAGGAGGGGAGGUAUAAAUUCCUUUACAAUUAAUUUUUUAAAUUCACCAAGUGCUGCUACAGAGUCGAUCUUAUGUAUCAACUCAGCAAACAGGUUCCAGGUGGGUAAAGGACACGUGGAUUCCCCAUGUGUGGGUGAGCCUGGUGCCCAGCCGCCCAUGUUCGCCAUGCUAGCCACGCGGCCUCCUCGUCCCGGCCCCUCCCCAUCCAUCUCCGGCUGCUCCCUGAGCCCACGCCUCCUCCAGGGCUGGCUCCCAGGGGUCUCUGCCCCAGCUACAGGGGUGGUGUUUCCCUAGUGUGAAACACGUGACACCCAGGGUUUCACACAUGGCUAUGUCGGUCUCCUCAGCUGUGUUGCAGGCAGAGGCAGUUCUCCUUUUGAGCCCUUCUCAGUGCCUGUGCACCCUGUGGGGGUCCAGCACAGCACCUGUGCCCUGGAUGCUCAAGGUAAGUGACAGUUCCCGCUCAUCCUGAGCAGCCUCAGGCCUUUCCGUGGCUGUGCUCAUCCAUAUCUGUCUCCGUGGCAUCAGCCUUUCUGUGCGUGUCCUUUGCCAGCUACAUUGCUCUUGGAAUGAGGCAGGGUGUAAACAACUGCAGUAAAUACAGAGGUUGCCUGGAGUCCUUGCUGAGGGACAGUGAGGUAGCAUUGUUUCCAGGCCUGCCUUGAGUGAGCCGACCAGGGUCCCAAGAGGAGGGAACGAGGAACGUGGGCUUUCUAGAGUUGGGGCGUCUGAGGGUGAGUCUGACUGUGGGGAAGGAUGAGGGUAGUAAGGGACAGGGGGCAUGCUAAGUCAGCAUGGCAGGACCUCCAGGGAGCCAGCAUGGCUCUGAGAUGGAUGAGGGUGGGGUGUGUUUGGCAAGUGAGAAUAGCAGCCUGGGUGGUCACGUGGCCAGAGCCCUGUGUGCCAAGGCUGCAGUGGCAGAAGCGAGGAAGCAGCCACCUACAUGGGAACGUGCGUCCUGUGCCAGGCUCGGAGCCCCGGGCUUCUUAUGCACUGCCCUUUACUCCCCACUGUGCCCGCGUGAGAUCAGGGAUGCCCCUGUCUCUAUCUGCAGGGAUUGGGGACUCCAUUGCCUGCCCAAGGUGGGGCAGCGAGGGAGCUGCUGGGUGGCCCUGUGGGCGCCUGCGGCUCCGCGGUGUCUUCUGGCCUCUGAAGCACUGCCGCAUCCAGGCCUGCUGUGCACUGACUACUGUGGAGGCGGCACUGUCCACAGGACAGCGGCAGUGACCGCAAAGGAAGAGAGGAGGAGGGUAAGGGCGGUUCCAUGGAGAAUGAGGACGUCAUGAUUAUUUAAGGAGAACAAAAAAUAUGUGGGCCACCUGCGAACACCCGUCCUUCAUCCACACGGCCGCUGCCCGUCCAUCCUUCCGUUUAGCAGGAGGGGCCUUGUGCUGGGUCUGGUGCCGGUGCCAGGGCCGGGGACGCUGGGGUGACAGCCCAGCCUUCAGGAAGGUCUUCGGUGGGAAUGGAGAAAGCCGGAGUCUUCACCAGUGAGCCGGCCCUGCUUCCCUUCACUCCCUGGGACAGAUACUCCGGGAAGCUGGGAUGAGCAGGGCUUUCCCCACGGCAGGCGUUCUCGUGUUUCAUGGGAUGGCGACAGAGUGGCAUCAGGGCAGAGAGGUUUGGCUGCAGCCAAGUGCAUUUGCAGCGUCCCUUACUUACUGUUCCCCGGCCGGGGUCUGGGCCCCUUGGUUUCAGGUGAUGAUGCACCUCCCGGAAAGUCCGGGUUUCUUGUCUAGAAAGGAGAGGCAGAGACCUGGCAAGCCAGUCUCCCCGAGGUCUCCCUUCUGUCCUGGUGUCUGGGGGCUCCCGGCACAGCCAAAGUGUGGCCUGUGGCCGCCACUGUCCUCCGAGGACCAGCCCUAGUGCAUGAAGAAGCCAGCUGCGGCCACGGUGGUCCUUGGGGUGGGCCCGGCUCCCCGAGGAGCUCCAUGUGCACCCACUGGGGCAGCUCCCAGCGCAUCCGUCUUCCCCAGCGAGGACGAUGAGGCAAUGCCUGUUCCAGGGACGUUUUCCACAGUAAAUCUGAGUCCGGCUCCGUGAGAUUGAAGUCCCUGGGAGUGAGGCUCUGGGGUGGCUUGACCGACUCCAGCAGAGUAAAUCCCCAGAGUGGAUGACGCCUUUCCAGCUGGAAACGGAGCAGGAUCUAACCAGGAAGAGGAAUGGCAACUACUCAGCCGGACUCAGCAGCGGGCAGGAGCCUCCGAGGGCACAGGUCAGGGCCAGGGCUCAGAGAGUGCCGUGGUGAUCGCUGAGGACAUCCUGGGGGCGAGAGGGCUGGUGAGGCUGGGCCGGGGCUCAGAGAGUGCCGUGGUGAUCGCUGAGGACAUCCUGGGGGCGAGAGGGCUGGUGAGGUUGGACGCAUCUGAGGCCGCAUUUGUUCAUUUAUUUAUGCUGGGCUUCAUUUCACUAAGGAUUCAACAUGGCUUAUAGAGAACACAGCAUAAAACAAAUAAAGGAGAGGGCACUAGGCCUAAAGGUUUUCAGCCAGAAGAGGCAGAGGUCAGAGGGGAAAUGCAGGAAAAACCCUCUUAUUCUCUUCUUUAUUAGAUGUCAGUGAUGACAAACGCAUCCGAAGCUUUUAAUAUGUCAGGCGCUGUUCUCAGCACUUUACGAACAUUCUCUGAUUUAAUCCUAAGAGGUCAAUGUCAUUCUCAUUUGACAGCAGAGGCACAGAGAGGCUCACACAGCUGCCCCAGGCCACACAGUGAGAGGGGUGGAGCCGGGGUUUCUGCCUAGCAGCUGUUGCUGGUCCCCACCACCUCCCCAGGGCGAGCUCCCUGGGCAGGAAGAAGUGCUUGGCCACAGGGUCCCACCCUUUCCAACCAAGUGACUCAUAGAAGAGCACCUCCUAAAUGUUGACAUGAAUGAGUGAGUCCAGGUCCUGCUUUGGAAUCAGGAUGUACUGAGUGGCUUUUGCUGAGAUGGUAGUGCGAUCAUUCUAACAGUGAUAGCUUCCAGCCGUUGAGGGCCUGCUGAGUACAGAAUUUUACAGAAGUGGAUUCUAUUAAUUUCCCCAACAGCCCUGGGAGGUGUGUACAAUUACAAUCCUUUGACCGCAAAGGAGACUGAGUCUCCGUGAGGUUAAUGAGGCGUUCCAGGUCAUGGAAUUGCGUGUGGCAGAGCUGGGAUCGUAUCUGGCAACUGUGUCUGUUCUCCUGCUGCUUCCCAGGACUGGGCCCGUGUCAAAGGGACCUUUCCUCCGUGGGCCUCAGGCCGUGUGCCACCAGGAAGGAAGGAUGUGGGGGAAUAGACCCAGCUCUGUGUGAAGGGCAGGCGGGUGGUGGCUGCCUGCAGGUGGCAGCCCAAGGGCCUGGUCCCAAAGGCCGGUGACACCUUCUCACCUGCAUCCGCUCCUCCAGCCCAGGCUGGCGGUGACUGCUCUGAUCACUACGUGCUGUGAAGGGCACGGUGCCAGCCUCUGAUCUGGGUCCUUGCUGCCAUAUGAAGACACCCACCUACCCUGCUGGAGAGGGGCUCUGGAGGGCCAGGGAGAGAGAGGAGAGCUGGGCUCCAGUCGGUGCCCCAUCCAGAGCCCACAGACAGGACAAAGCCAUCCCGGGCCCCCCAGCCCCUGUUGGCCAUCGCAGCACAUGCCACCUGCGCAAAGGUAAGCCCUGUCCGGGCUCCUGGCCUCAGGGUUGUGAGCAGUAGACCAGUUGUAUUAAGCCUCUGACUUUGCAGGGCUUCCUAAUGGAGACCAUUCACCGCCCGGUAAGUGACCUAGCGGAGAACACGCAGGCAGCUUCAGGACUGCUAGGGCUGGAGCCAGACAGGAUUGGGACGGGGUGGCUGAGUAGAGCAGUUCAGAACCCGCUAAGUGUGGGCUCAGAGGGGAGAACAGGUUGAAAGAUCCUAGAGGAGUGGCAGAAACGUCAGAGGAAUCAGAAAAGCACUUCCUAGGGCUCUUCUCCUACAGGAUCAAGGGAAAGGAGAAUUUGCCUUCAAACGGCUGUUUGUUUAAAAUAGGAAAGCAUAAAACCAGGCUCUGACAGGAGAAGAAACAGUGGCAAAUGAGCUCGGCCAAAUGCUUAAAAUGGUCCCAACCACAGGCUCCAGCCACAGACUAUGUGGGCCGAGAACCACGGGAAGGGGAUCCACUAGCUGCUGGGCACUGGAUUACAGGUCUUCAGGGGCGUGAGGGGAGCAAAGUGGAAGAAACCCACCAGCAUCACCACCUGUGUUCCUUUAGGUCAGGGUGCUGGGUCCAGUCCUGAUUUCAUCUUCUUACAAGUUAGGGAGCUGGGUCCAGGCCUGGAUCCAUGUUAUUAUGAAUCAGGGAGUUGGGUCCAGGCCUGGCUCCAUGUUCCUACAGGUCAGGGCUGGUCUUCUCCCGAGUGAUGGCUCCUGGACUGUGCUCCUCUGGGGCCCUCUCAACUCUGUGUCUGUCAUCUGUCACCUGCCUGGCCAUUAUGGUUUUGAUGGCAGUGGAUGGGCUCCAUGGGACUUCAGGCCUUGGGGGAGACUCAGGACCCUGGGGUGGGCAUGGAUGGGGAUAUUGGACCCCUGAAAGAAGGGAAGCUGGGAGACUUUUUUCCUUUAAAGACUUUUCCAUGUUAUCUCCACUCAGAGAAUUCUUUUCUGCAAAGUCACGGGAGGGAGGUGGCAUUGAGCCCUCCAAUGUGACAGAAACUGUGCUGGGAACUUUACAUGUGUUACCUAAUUUGUUUAAUUAUCCCAGCAACUCCACAAAGUAGGCAUUUUUAUUGUUGAGGAAACAGAAGCUUAGAGACUUUGUGAGACUUGCCGGAGACCCCAGGUCACACGCCAGCAAGGAUGAGGUCACGCUUUUAAUCCAGGUCUGCCUGGCUCCAAGUCCACACCCUUUCACGACAAUGAACUUUCUUUAUGAUUGCAGAUAUUAUUCGGGGAACUUUACAUAAAACAUUGACUUACAUAAAACUUCGACCGUAGACUAUAUUCUUUGUUUUGGAAACUGUGAAGACCCAAAUUUUUUAUAAACUCAGAACAGCUUCCAGUUUUCUCUAGAUCUCGGAAGAUGGGCUGUGUUUUUUGUCUGUUGUCCAGUGAGGCUGAUUUGUAGUUAGACAGGUGAGUCAGUUUGGUUGGAGUAGGCUAUUGUGGUUAUCUCUCAUCAGGAAAGAGGGGAUGCACUUGGCACCUCAACUCCAAGUUGGUGGUGCGAUGAUUUUUCCAUAUUCUCCCUUAACAGGCUGUGAGGGAGUCUGGGCCAGGCACUAGGCCAUGAGCAGGGCAGACCUGGGGUAAACCCUUAGCGAGCCUCUCUCCAGCCACGAGGAAACCUGGAGUGUGUGCGUGCCUGUGUGCUGCUGGUGUGUGUGUGUGAAUGCACGCGUGUGUGCAUGCACUGUGAGCUGGUGUGUGCGUGUGCACUGGUGUGUGCGUUCGUGUGUGUGUGUGCAUGUGUGUGCUGGGUGCACACAUGCAUAUGUCUCUGUGUAUACAUGUGUAUGUGUGCCAGUAGGUGCAUGUGUUUGUACAGUGUGCGUGUGUGUGUUUGUGCACACGAGCUGCUGCACACAUAUAAGCCUUGUGAAUUAGGGGAAGAAGAAAGGCUCCGGCUUACAGAAAAAAAAAGGAAAACUCCUACAGAGAUAAUUAUCAUUAAAAUGCCAAGGCUGUACUCGUGAGCUGCACUGCCUUCCCUGAAAGGGCCAGUCUGCUGCCUUUUCUUUUGCUCUCUCUUACGGCGACAGCCAAGCAAAUGGAGCUGUGUGGCCUGCUGGGGCUGGUGCCCGACUUCUGGCAAGGGGCAAGUUUGGUGGAAGCCAGAGCCGAGCUUUUCUCCUUGUUGACCUUGGCAAUACAGCCUCAGAUGCCCAUUUUCCUGGAGGAGCCGCAUGCAAUGCCCUUGUUAGCUGGCUGCAGCCUUUCACCGCAGUCCCCAGACACUACUCAGGGCACUGAGCUGUUGGAUGCUGCUCCCAUGGGGAUGCUGGCUGGGACCCAUUCUCAGGGCUAUCUGCCAGGUAGAGACGUGCUUGUUGCUGUCCUUGUUUACCAAGAAGAAAGCAGAGGCAUAAACCAGCAAGGCCGUGGAGUCUGGGAGGGGUGGGGUUGCCCCCGACAGCCUCCAGGCUUCUCCCAAGUAAGCGCUGUCCUUGGGGUGUGUGCCCAGGGUGAGGCGUGUGCACACAUGUGCGUGUGUGUGCGUGUGAGAGGCAGCGUUGUCUGUGGGAUGGUGGGGGAUCUGGACUCUGCUCCACCGUCAUCGGGUCAUCUGGCAGAGAGCCUGCCACCCCGCCUGGGAGCAGGGAGAAUGUGGCAGUGCCACCCCACCUGGGAGCAGGGAGAAUGUGGCAAUGCCACCCCGCCUGGGAGCAGGGAGAAUGUGGUGGUGCGUUCGGAUGGAGGAGGGGGGUGUUUUCUAAGACAUCUCUUCAGCCAGUGCUGACAUCCCCAGGUGGCCACAGAUUUGCUCAGGGACCCAUAUGUCUCCUUGUCUUUGAAAAUCUGCUUUUGUUUGAUGGCUCUAGGAGAGGAAGAAUGAACUUGCUUGAGGCUGUGUGGCCCAGCCUCUCCCCUGGGACCCAUGAGUCCCUGACCCAAGAAAGCGUCCCUGUGCAGGGCUGGGCACAGAGGUUCCCUGGAGAGGCCCAAUGCUCUCCUUCUGCAGCGGGGACAGGAAUGAGUCCUGUCUUAGUCAUGCCUCUGCCUCCCUCCUGAGACCUGAGAGUGGGGCCCACCUGCAGGCCCAGAUGCCCUCUGUGGGAGCUCUGCACGCGGGCCCAUUCGGGGCAGCCUUCAUGCCAGCUUCCUGCAACCUUCUUUGCUUCUUUUUUCACCUAUAACUUUCACCCUCUCAAGAGGGUGUCGCAUGAGCAGUUCUGAGUUAGACUGUCGUGGUUUUCGAGCUUCUAAUCUAAACAAGGUCCUCUGGAUGAGUCCCUCUGAAGGAGGAGCCUCUUACAGGGGUUCACACAGAGCUGAGAACCCCAGAAACCACAGGAGUGUGGGGUAGUAGAGGAAGGCAGUGUUCUUGGAUGUUUAAAUAAAUCUGUAACUUACUGUUGACUAGACCUAGUGUGUCAUGGUGUGUAAAAUUACUUAGGUAAUGAUUUUGCCAUGUCUUACAAGAAUUAGAGACAAUGAUGACAGCAACAACAAUCACAAACCACAACUAUUGCAGUGGCUAUGCACCAGGAACCAGGGAUGCAGAGGUGACUGAGGCGCAUCCCUGCCCACAGGGAGCUUGCAGUCUAAAGGGGAAGACAGCAUGCACACAUGACUAUAACAGAGUUCUUUAGACAACGUGUGGCAGGCACCUUCGGGCUGCUCUCAGGCACGUUACUUCAACAGCCACCAUGGGGUCCCAGUGAAAGAGGAGGCCAUGCCACCAUCCAGGGCAGACGAGGUAGCUCAGCAAGGCAGAGACAGCAGGGUGGGUGCAGGACGGUCUGGGUUAGCAGGACAUCUCUGAGAACGGAUCUGGUGUUUGCAGUGGGAAGGGAGGGGUGCAAUAUGGCUUCUGAUGGAGGUUUCUAGCUUGGAGGACUAAACGAUGUAGGAAACUCAAAAGGAGAUUAACAUUGGUGAAGAUGAUUCCAUGUCUAUCAGCAUUGAUUGAGGGGCUGUGGGAGUGGACAUUGGUGAUAAUGAUUCCAUGUCUAUCAACAUUGAUUGAGGGGCUGUGGGACUGGACACUGGUGAUAAUGAUUCCAUGUCUAUCAGCAUUGACUGAGGGGCUGUGGGAGUGGACAUUGGUGAUAAUGAUUCCAUGUCUAUCAACAUUGAUUGAGGGGCUUUGGGAGAUGAACAUUGGUGAGUGUGAUUCCAUGUCUAUCAGCAUUGAUUGAGGGGCUGUGGGACUGGACACUGGUGAUAAUGAUUCCAUGUCUAUCAGCACUGAUUGAGGGGCUGUGGGAGUGGAUGUUGGUGAUAAUGAUUCCAUGUCUACCAGCAUUGAUUGAGGGGCUGUGGGAGUGGACAUUGGUGAAGAUGAUUCCAUGUCUAUCAGCAUUGAUUGAGGGGCUGUGGGAGUGGACAUUGGUGAUAAUGAUUCCAUGUCUAUCAACAUUGAUUGAGGGGCUUUGGGAGAUGAACAUUGGUGAGUGUGAUUCCAUGUCUAUCAGCAUUGAUUGAGGGGCUGUGGGAGAUGAACAUUGGUGAGUGUGAUUCCAUGUCUAUCAGCAUUGAUUGAGGGGCUGUGGGACUGGACACUGGUGAUAAUGAUUCCAUGUCUACCAGCAUUGAUUGAGGGGCUGUGGGAGUGGACAUUGGUGAGGGUGAUUCCAUGUCUAUCAGCAUUGAUUGAGGGGCUGUGGGACUGGACACUGGUGAUAAUGAUUCCAUGUCUACCCGCAUUGAUUGAGGGGCUGUGGGAGUGGACAUUGGUGAAGAUGAUUCCAUGUCUAUCAGCAUUGAUUGAGGGGCUGUGGGAGUGGACAUUGGUGAUAAUGAUUCCAUGUCUAUCAACAUUGAUUGAGGGGCUUUGGGAGAUGAACAUUGGUGAGUGUGAUUCCAUGUCUAUCAGCAUUGAUUGAGGGGCUGUGGGAGAUGAACAUUGGUGAGUGUGAUUCCAUGUCUAUCAGCAUUGAUUGAGGGGCUGUGGGACUGGACACUGGUGAUAAUGAUUCCAUGUCUACCAGCAUUGAUUGAGGGGCUGUGGGAGUGGACAUUGGUGAGGGUGAUUCCAUGUCUAUCAUCAUUGAUUGAGGGGCUGUGGGAGUGGACAUUGGUGAUAAUGAUUCCAUGUCUAUCAGCAUUGAUUGAGGGGCUGUGGGAGUGAACAUUGGUGAAUGUGAUUCCAUGUCUAUCAGCAUUGAUUGAGGGGCUGUGGGAGUGGACAUUGGUGAGGGCGAUUCCAUGUCUAUCAGCAUUGAUUGAGGGGCUGUGGGAGUGAACAUUGGUGAGGGCGAUUCCAUGUCUAUCAGCAUUCAUUGAGGGCUGUGGGAGUGGCUGUUGGUGAUUAUGAUUCCAUGUCUACCAGCAUUGAUUGAGGGGCUGUGGGAGUGGACGUUGGCGAUAAUGAUUCCAUGUCUAUCAGCAUUGAUUGAGGGCUGUGGGAGUGAAAAUUUGUGAUAAUGAUUUCAUGUCUAUUGGCAUUGAUUGAGGGGCUGUGGGAGUAGAUGUUGGUGAUAGUGAUUCCAUGUCUAUCAGCAUUGAUUGAGGGGCUGUGGGAGUGAACAUUGGUGAAGACUAUUCUAUGUCUAUCAGCAUUGAUUGAGGGCUGUGGGAGUGGACAUUGGUGAUAAUGAUUCCAUGUCUAUCAGCAUUGAUUGAGGGGCUUUGGGAGAUGAACAUUGGUGAGGGCGAUUCCAUGUCUAUCAGCAUUGAUUGAGGGGCUGUGGGAGUGAACAUUGGUGAGGGCAAUUCCAUGUCUAUCAGCAUUGAUUGAGGGGCUUUGGGAGAUGAACAUUGGUGAGGGCGAUUCCAUGUCUAUCAGCAUUGAUUGAGGGGCUGUGGGAGUGAACAUUGGUGAGGGCGAUUCCAUGUCUAUCAGCAUUGAUUGAGGGGCUGUGGGAGUGAACAUUGGUGAGGGCAAUUCCAUGUCUACCAGCAUUGAUUGAGGGGCUGUAGGAGUGGACGUUGGCGAUAAUGAUUCCAUGUCUAUCAGCAUUGAUUGAGGGCUGUGGGAGUGAAAAUUGGUGAUAAUGAUUUCAUGUCUAUCGGCAUUGAUUGAGGGGCUGUGGGAGUAGAUGUUGGUGAUAAUGAUUCCAUGUCUAUCAGCAUUGAUUGAGGGGCUGUGGGAGUCAUUGGUGAAGACUAUUCUAUGUCUAUCAGCAUUGAUUGAGGGCUGUGUGAGUGGACAUUGGUGAUAAUGAUUCCAUGUCUAUCAGCAUUGAUUGAGGGGCUUUGGGAGAUGAACAUUGGUGAGGGCGAUUCCAUGUCUAUCAGCACUGAUUGAGGGGCUGUGGGAGUGGAUGUUGGUGAUAAUGAUUCCAUAUCUACCAGCAUUGAUUGAGGGGCUGUGGGAGUGGAUGUUGGUGAUAAUGAUUCCAUAUCUAUCAGCAUUGAUUGAGGGCUGUGGGAGUGGACACUGGUGAUAAUGAUUCCAUGUCUAUCAGCAUUGAUUGAGGGCUGUGGGAGUGGUCAUUGGUGAUAAUGAUUCCAUGUCUAUCAGCAUUGAUUGAGGGGCUUUGGGAGAUGAACAUUGGUGAGGGUGAUUCCAUGUCUAUCAGCAUUGAUUGAGGGGCUGUGGGAGUGGACAUUGGUGAUAAUGAUUCCAUGUCUAUCAGCAUUGAUUGAGGGGCUGUGGGAGUGGACAUUGGUGAUAAUGAUUCCAUGUCUAUCGGCAUUGAUUGAGGGGCUGUGGGAGUGGACAUUGGUGAUAAUGAUUCCAUGUCUAUCGGCAUUGAUUGAGGGGCUGUGGGAGUGGACGUUGGUGAUAAUGAUUCCAUGUCUAUCGGCAUUGAUUGAGGGGCUGUGGGAGUGGACGUUGGUGAUAAUGAUUCCAUGUCUAUCGGCAUUGAUUGAGGGGCUGUGGGAGCGGACGUUGGUGAUAAUGAUUCCAUGUCUAUCGGCAUUGAUUGAGGGGCUGUGGGAGUGGACGUUGGUUAUAAUGAUUCCAUGUCUACCAGCAUUGAUUGAGGGCUGUGGAAAUGGACAUUGGUGAUAAUAAUUCCAUGUCUAUCAGCAUUGAUUGAGGGGCUGUGGGAGUGGACAUUGGUGAUAAUGAUUCCGUGUCUAUCAGCAUUGAUUGAGGGGCUGUGGGAGUGGUAGUCUGUGGGUGGAAAUGGUAUCUAGAUGUCUAGAGGGAGGACGUGAGCCAUGACCUGGAGACUGCAGCUUCUCUCCGUCACCCACAGUCUGCAUUUCAGGGCCUCCUCAGGAUGGUGAGAGUAGGAACUCUUCUCAACUUCGGAGCCCGUCCCUAAGACUUUGUCCAUGGGAAAUGUGCCUGGUAGCCCCCAUAAUUUAUGGAGAAAGAGGUUUUCUUUGCAUGAAGUUUGCAUUGUAGAAUGGAGAAAGAGAAAACACUCUUUAUUUGAUUUUUCUUUUUAUUGUUGUUCUUCACUAACUACGGUGAUGCUUGGGGAGGGGAAAAUUUGUCUGUGUAAAUGAUCCUUCACGAAGGAGGAGGAUUUCACAGCAGGAGGCAGAUUCUUUGAGAGGGGACUUCAGAGAUAUUUGAAUAACAGGAGCUGUGUCGAGAGCAAGACUGGAAAGCUCUGUCAUCAAAGCGAAUCUGGAAAUUGAUCAAGGCACUGCCAGCUGCGGGUUGGCGAAGGGAAGACAACUGCGAGGCUGGCAGGAUUCAGCCUCCUUUGUUCUCACGAUGGACAUAAUCUCACGAAGAAGGAGUGAUUAUGGAGUAAUCACUUGGGGAGUGAUUUUGGAGUAAUCAUUAUUGAUGAGGUGCAGUUUUGAAGGUAAAACUAGACAAAAAGCUCGAAGUUCUUGAACUCAUAACUUAAAUCUGUUUAGAAAUCCUAGAUAAGGAUUUCCCAGAGUUUCUUAGUUUAUGAGGGUUUUUCCUUUGUGAAGUGUAUCUCAUUAUCAUCUUAAAAGUGUUGAGGGCGUCGCCUCACAGGGAGCUCAACCUUCGUUUUUGGUGCUGUUACUGUUCCUUUCAUUUUCUCACUUUCCUAGGAAUUCAACGCAUCAAACUUCUGUUUGGAGGCAGAAAUUCCUUCAACACUGUCUCAAGGGGCUUAUCCGAGGUGCCUCCUGGACACUCUUGAUGAGGCACUGCUAUCUCCUGGGUGUGGUAGUCAGGAGCGCAGGCUUGAAGACCUUUGCUUUUGACCUUGAAUGUAGCUUUGCCACUUUGAGCCAGAAAGUGAAGUCUCAAUUUCCUCAUCUGUAAAAUAGGGGUAAUAAUGAUGAAAUGAAAUUAAUUUAAUUGAUGCAUGUAAAGUUCUUCAUACUAUUCCUACUGUAUAACAGACACUCUGAGAAACACACCGUCUUUCUUGUUUCCCCCACCCUGAUCUAUCAGCGUGCUUUUGCUCGGGGCGUGCUGUCUGAAAGACAGUCCUACACCUGAAUCUUCAUGGCCUGACCUUGCCAAAGGAAGUUCAUAAAAGAGAGAUGAAGAGGGAAAUGAAGACACCUGCUGAUACCACAUGCAUUGACAUAUUCAUGGGCUUCUCAGUGAGCGGGGACCAGUUUCUCAUCAUAUUCCUCAUUUCAGCUGAUGGUGUGAACUUGGCUCUAUCUUUUUUCUCUUCUCUCAUAAAAGAUGCAUUUUGUGGGACAGCCAAAAAAGAAAGAGAGAAAGAAAUGAUCAUUCUUCACUGAUCAUUUUCUUCAUAGAAGCCUGAGGCUGCUACAAGGCUCGCAUGUCUUCCGGGGCUCUUUCUGACCCUAUGGGAUGUUUGGGGUCCAUGACCUCAGCCCCUGCGUGCUGAGCGGCUGCCUAUCCUCUGAGGAGACCCGAGGUUGCUCUGCUCACACUGGAGAGGUGGUACCAAGCAGGCAUCUGCAGGAAACCCGAGGAAACUGUGGAGUCCACCUCACAAGUUGGGAUCCUGUAGUUCUCCCAGAUCUGGACACAUGCAGGAUGCAUGUGUGGUACCAACUCCAGGCGUGGCCACACUGGGGGAAGCGUGAGGGAGUGCAGGAGGUUGGUGUCUCAUGGCUGUUCACAGUUGAUGGCGUACGUUUGCGAAUGUGUGCCAAUGUGUGUUUGCAUGUGUGUGAAUGUGCAUGUGUGUGGCAUGCUGUGUGGCGUGUGUGAGUGAAUUCAUGCAUUUGAUUAUGUGCAUGUGUGAAUUCAUGUGUGUGAAUGAGCAUGUGUGUUGUGAAUAUAUAUGUGUGAAUGUGGGUGCCUGUGUGUGUGCGAAUGUGCAUGUGUGUGGCACGAUAUGUGGUAUGUGUGAGUGAAUGCAUGUGUAUGUAACUGUGAGGGUGUGUCUGUGAAUGUGUGCAUGUGUGUGCAUAUGUAAAUGUGUGUGAAUGUGUGUGUUACUGUGUGACUGUGUAUGACUGAAUGUGAAUGUGUGCAUGUGUGUAGAUGUGUGUGUGACUGUGUGAAUGUACGUGUGUUAAUGUGGCUCUGUGUGCAUGUGUGUGACUGUGUCUAUGUGCAUGUGUGUGAAUGUGUGUGUGACUGAGUGUGAGUGUGAAUGUGCAUGUGUGUGCAUGUGUGUGACCAUGUGUGACUGUGAGAGUGUAUGUAUGAAUGGGUGUGUGACUGUGUCCGUGUGUGAAUGUAUGAGUGUGUAUGUAUGAGAAUGUGCAUGUAUGUGAAUGUGUUUAUGUUACUGUGUUGCUGUGUAUGACUCUGUGAAUGUGUUAAUGUGUGCAUGUGUGUAGAUUGUGGCUGUGACUGUGUGAAUGUACAUGUGUGUUAAUGUGGCUGUGUGCAUGUGUGUGACUGUGUCUAUGUGCAUGUGUGUGUGACCGUGUGACUGUGAGCGUGUGAAUGUGUGUGGCUGUGUGUGACUGAGAGUGUGUGAAUAUGCAUGUGUGUGAAUGUGUGUGGCUGAGUUGAAUGUGAGAGUGCACGUGUGAGUGUGUAUGUGUGUGUAUAUGUACGUAUGUGAAUGUGCAUGUGUGUGCAUGCAUGUGAUUGUGACUGAGAAUGCAUGUGUGCAUGUGUGUGUGUGAAUGUGCAUGUGUGUGAAUGUGUGUGAGACUGUGAUUGUGUGUGAAUGUGUGUGUGAAUGUGUGUGGCUGUGUGUGAGACUGUGAUUGUGAAUGUGUGUGUGAAUGUGUGUGACUGUGACAGUGUGCAUGUGUGUGGCUGAGUGUGACUGUGAGCAUGCAUGCGUGAAUGUGUAUGUGUGUGCAUGUGUAGGGGGUGUCAUGGACAGGGGAUUCCUUCUGCUCAGCCUCAGGGUAUUAGAUUUGGACUUUUGGUCUCAUCUUCAAAUGAAGGUCUCUGUCCUGCAUGCUGGUCCUCUCUUCCCUCUGUCCUGUGGGCGUGGCUCCUGCCCUUGGUAGAAUUUGCACAGCACCCACUCUUUCUGUUGAUUUCGGGCUCCCCAUGAAAGUCAUUCACUCUCUCCUAGGAAAGAACUGAGUUUUAAAAGGUCACACAUGUGUGUGUCAGUCUGAGCCGUUCUGGGUUAGUCAUCAAGGAGAAUUGAAUGAUAUGAGAUCAAGCUGCAGGAGGGGCACCAAGGACCUGGAACCUGCAUUUAUUUUGGUGUCAUAUUUAAAAUGCUAGUUCUCAGGGGAUGGUGCAUUUUUAUUUCUCAAGUUUUCAUAAAGAAACAAAAAUAGAAAAAAAAGAAGUAUAACUUGUAGCUUGAUUUGCGUUUGUUUGGUAAAAUAUCCUGAUUUAGUUCACAAGAAAUAUUCACGGUAAAAGCAAAGGAAAGCGCCCCCAGUGAAUAUUAAUGGAUGUUUGCAUGCAUAGCAACUAAGCCUUUGUCCUCGGAUCCGUCCGUCUCAAAAUGGGUGGGAGCCACGGGGAGAAGACAGGAAGACAAAAGAGGAAUAAAGCUGAUUGCAUUACCUGGACAAAAUUCAAUCAAUGUGCAGCUUCAAUACUGGCUGCUGCAUUCAGAUUGCUGCUGUUAAAAAACAGCCGUGGCCAGGCGCGGUGGCUCAUGCCUGUAAUCCCAGCACUUUGGGAGGCCGAGGCGGGCAGAUCACGAGGUCAGGAGAUCGAGAUCAUCCCGGCCAGCAUGGUGAAACGCAGUCUCUACUAAAAAUACAAAAAUUAGCCUGGUGUGGUGGUGCGUGCCUGUAAUCCCAGCUACUUGGGAGGCUGAGGCAGAAGAAUUGCUUGAACCAGGAAGUCGGAGGUUGCAGUGGGCCGAGAUUGCACCACUGCACUCCAGUCUGGCAACAGGGUGAGACUCCAUCUCAAAACAACAACAACGACAACAGCAACAACAACAAACCCAGCCUUAUGGGGAUAUAAUUUACAUGCCAUAAAAGUCACCUGUUUUAAGUGUACAGUUCAAUGAACUUUAGGCUGUUUAAAGAGGGCACAACCAUCACCACCCUCUAAUUUUGGGACCUGCAGUCACCCUGUGAUGACGCCUCAUUCUGACACCCAGUCCUAGGUAAUUAUUAUUAGUUUUGAGACAGAGUCUCCCUCUGUCGCCCAGGCUGGAGUGCAGUGGGUUAAUCAUGGUUCACUGCAGCCUUGACCUCGCUGGGCUCAGGUGAUCCUCCUGCCUCAGCCCCCCUAGUAGCUGGGACCAUAGGCAGGCACACCCCACCACGCCCAGCUAAUUUUUAUAUUUUUUGUAGAUGUGAGGUUGCCCAGGCUGGUUUCAAACUCCUUUCUUGGCCUCCCCAAAGUGCUGGGAUUACAGAUGUGAGCCACAGCACCUAGCUCUUAGGUAAUUACUAAUCCAUGUUUGGUCUCUCGUGAUUUGUUUGUUUUUUUUUUUUUUUUUGAUACUUGAAAUAAAGUAAAUGACCCACUAUGUCUUCUUUUGUGUCUGCUUCUUUCAGAUAAUGCAGUGUUUUCAAGGUUUAUCCAUGUGGUAGUGGAUGUCAGCAUUUCCUUCUUUUUUAUAGUCAAUUAAUGUUCCAUUUCAUAGAUAUACCACAUCCUGUUUACCACAUCACCACUUGAUGGCCAUUUGGAUUGUUUUCACUUUUUGGCUGUUGUGAAUAAUGCUACUAUGGACAUCUGUGUGUGAGAGUCUGUCUGGACAUACACCUUCAUUUCUCAUGAGCACAUACCUAGGAGCUGAACUGCUGAGUCAUGUGGUAGCUAUGCUGAAAAUCAUUUUGAUCCAGCAGUCCCACUACUGGGUGUCUACCCAGAGGAAAAGAAGUCAUCAUACGAAAAAGAUACUUGCACACGCAUGUUUACAGCAGCACAAUUCGCAGUUGCAAAAUAGUGGAGACAGCCCAAAUGCCCAUCAAUCAACGAGUGGAUAAAGAAACUAUGUAUGUAUAUAUACAUAUAUAUAUACACACACACACAUAUAUAUACAUAUACAUAUAUAUACAUAUAUACACAUGUAUACAGAUACAUAUACAUAUAUAUAUAUAUUUAUGAUGGAAUACUACUCAGCCAUAAAAAGGAAUGAAUUAACGGCAUUUGCAGAGACCUGGAUGAGAUUGGAGACUAUUAUUCUAAGUGAAGUAACUCAGGAAUGGAAAACCAAACAUUGUAUGUUCUCACUCAUAAGUGGGAGCCAAGCUAUGAGGAUGUAAAGGCAUAACAAGGAUACGAUGGACUUAGGGGACUUGUGGGGGAAAUGGUGAGAUGGGGAUGAGGGAUAAAAGACUACAAAUUGGGUUCAGUGUUUACUGCUUCGAUGAUGGAUGCAUCAGAAUCUCACAAAUCACCACCAAAGAACUUACUCGGCUGGGCGUGGUGGUUCAUGCCUGUAAUCCCAGCACUUUGGGAGGCAGAGGUGGGCAGAUAACCUGAGAUCAGGAGUUCGAGACCAGCUUGGCAAACAUCGUGAAACCCUAUCUCUACUAAAAAUACAAAAAUUAGCCAGGCAUGGUGGCAGGCGCCUGUAAUCCCAGCUACUCAGGAGGCUGAGACAGGAGAAUCACUUGAACCUAGGAGGCAGAGAUUGCAGUGAGCCGAGAUCAUGCUGCUGAACUCCAGCCUGGGUGACAGAGCAAGACUAUGUCUCAAAAAAAAAAAAAAAAGAUUAAAAACUUACUCAUGUAACCAAAUACCACCUGUUCCCCCAAAACUGAUGGAAAUAAAAAGUUAAAAAAAUAAAAAUAAAAUUAUUGUCAUGAAGAAAAUGUGCCAGACUGUUUUCCAAAGUGGCAGUGCCAUUUUACAUUCCCACCAGUAGCAUAUGAGGGUUCCAGUUUCCCGUUGUCCUUGCCAACACUUGCUGUUUUCCUCUUUUUUUGCUAAUAGCCAUCCGAGUGGGUGUGAAGUGGAGUUUCUCCGUUAUUGGAUUUGCCUUUCCCUGAUGGCUAAUGAUGUCAAGAAUCUUCUCGUGUGCUUGUUGGCCAUCGGUGAUGAUGUUGAGCACCUUCUCGUGCUUGUUGGCCAUCAGUGAUUAUGUCGAAUAUCUUCUCGUGUGCUUGUUGGCCAUUGGUGAUGAUGUCGAGCACCUUCUCGUGUGCUUGUUGGCCAUCGGUGAUGAUGUCAAGCAUCUUCUUGUGUGCUUGUUGGCCAUCGGUGAUGAUGUCGGCACCUUGUGCUUCUUGGCCAUCGGUGAUGAUGUCGAGCGUCUUCUCAUGUGCUUCUUGGCCAUCGCUAUGCCCUCCCUGGACAGGUUUUCUUUUUUAAAGUUCCCUGAACAUGGUGCCCUUCACGCCCCGCUGUGGUUGCAUUUUUCCAUCUGGCUGUGAAGUGCAGAAGCUGCCACUGUGCCUCAGCGGGCUCCUUUGUCACCAACUGCCCCGUGGCAGCUGCCAGCAGGAAGGGAGCUGGUGGUGGAGUCAUCCCGGCAGGGUGUCCAGCUGGCCACUGGGAGCUGGCAGCAGAUUGGGCACUGCUGGCUUGGCUGUUACCUUCCCUCCCACCUGGGCCACUUAAUGGUAUUGGACAGCAACUAACAACCUUAUAGCUCCUGCUCAAAAAGUGACUUUCCACAUGGGAUGCCACAUGCUUUUCUCAGUAGGCUGUAAGCUAAUGGUGACUCUCACCCAUUUUUUGCAGAAGGAACCUGAAGCUUGUCCAAAGUUGCUCAACAACCUGACCAUACCUGGCUUUCUUUUUCUGGUACAUACUUUUAUUGUGGCAUAAUAUACAUAACAUAUGAUUUUCCAUUUUGACUUUUUUAAGCAUACAGUUCAGUGGCAUUAAGCAUGUUCAUGGUGCUGUGCAACCAUUGCAACUAUCCAUUUCCAGGGCUUUUUCAUCUUGCAAAAUUGGAACUCUGUCCCCACUCAACACUAAGUCCUCAUGCUUCCCCCUCCCCCAGCCCCUGGCACCCACCCUUCCACUUUCUGUCUCUAUGAAUCUGAGUAUGUGGGUACUGCAUGUAAGUGGAAUCACACAGUAUUUGUCCUUUGGGGUCUGGUUUAUUUCACUUAGCAUGAUGUCCUCAAGCUUCAUCCCUGGUGUAGCACAUGUCAGAUUUCCCUUCCUUUUCUGAAGCUGAAUAAUAUUCCACUGUGUGUCUAUGCCACGUGUUGCUUAUCUGUUCACACACUGACGACACUUGGGCCGUCGACACCUUUUGGCUGUUGUUAAUAUGUUGCUGUGAACGCGGAGUGCAGAUGUCUGAGACCCUGAUUUCAGUUCUCUUUCAAAAAUUCCCAGAAGUGGGAUUGGUGAUCAGAACAACACUCAUGUUUGGUUUUUGAGGAGCCGCGAUACUGUUUUCCAUGGUGACACAGUUUCACAUUCCCACCAGCAAUGCAGGAAGGAUCCAGACACAACUUCCUUCUUAGAAGUGGAAAGAAAAGAUAGAAAUGGGCCACAGCUCAGGACCUCAGGAUUUCAGGAUUCGCCGUUUGAGCUCAGCUAUGUGAGCUCAGGGAUUCUGCCGAGGACAGUGGGACUCUGAGGGCAAGGGGACACCAGUGUGGCUGGUGAGUGUCAUGGGUGCCCUUGGAUAACAAAGCAGCAGGUGUGUGAGAGGGAGUGGCACUGCCAUGCUGUAGCCAAUGACAGGUCAGCUCUGACCCAUCGCUUUGUGAUGGGAAGUUCACUCCCUCGUGGUCAGCGGAUGUCACUGAUUAGCUGCCCAAUUGUUACCUCCCCACUUUCCCUUCCAAAGAGACGGCAGUUCUGCUCAGGUGGGUGGGAUGGUAGGACCAGGUGUGCCCAUUCACGGGAUGAUCGGCCAGGCCCUGAGGGUCCCCUGACCCUGCUUCCUCCCUGCACAGGGACAGGUGCUUCCACUCUUCCACUCCCCUCUGGGCCGGGGGGCCAUGUGAAGUGUGAGGGUGGGGUGUGGAUUUGCGGGGUUGGAGUGGAAUCCAGGAUCUGCCUGGGGCAUACUCUUCACAGCCUGGGCAGGGCAGGCAAACCCCAAUUUCCUGGAAAGCAGGCCUGGGUAGGGCCACCCGGGGCUGGCAGAGUGAAGUCCUCGAGUCCUCUGCCAAGGGUGCUGUGUCUGGGCUGUGGUUGUCAUCUGCAUAUUUAGAAGGAAAGGCAGGGGUUAAAAUAUCCCUUUGUCUGCUGAGAGGGUCUGUGGUCUCUCCAUCCUUCCUUUGAUUUAAUAAGAAAGAUAAACACUGCACAGCGGGUGCUUCCGUGCCAGACAGGUGCUAAGCCCCCCGAAGACGCUGCCGUUCACCAGCUCACUCGUGUAAUUUCAGGUUUAAACAGCUCUUGGAAUAUAGGAAAGUCUGUGGAUCACAGUGGAGGCUUUUAUAUUUUAUUCUUCUCUCCAGAUCAGGCAGGCACCGGGAGCUGGCUGGCAGGUACCUCUGAGCACACUGGAUUAAUUCCCAGGGCGGCCGUCACAGCAGUGACGUUGGCACUGACCACCCACGGAGAGGACAGAAUUUAAAGAGGCUGAGUUUUUCAUCUCUCUCUGCUGUUUUCUCUCUGGUUUCCCUUUUACCAUUUUGACAAGUCCCACCAUACUCAGUUCCAGCCUGGGACACACACUUGUGGAUUGCUAACGGGUGGAAAGUUGCGCGUGCCAUGUUGUAUUGCUGACACCAAAGGCAAAAGCCCAGGUCCUGGCCCCAGGUUAGGCCCACACAUGCCUGGGCUGUCCCAUCUCGGGGACUCCCUGGUCAGAGCUGAAAGUCUUCGGGCUCUGUCUCCCUCGCUGGGGAGUGUGUCCAGCCCUGUCCUCCAGCACUGGGCCCUGCCUCCCCAGACACGGCCCCCAGGGCGGAGGGGACCACAGACAUUCUGAGGUGAACUCUCCUCCGUGUUGGAAAUAUGAAAAAUAAAAAGGGAAGGGCUGGGGGAAGAGAUGGGGCAUUGUUUACUUCCUCAAAAUUCCAUGUUAACGAGUUCCCACUGAAUUCUCUGGUUAAGCAGAGAACAGCUGUGCAGAGCGUGAGCUGUGAGCCCCAAGCUGGUCCUCCUGUGGGCCCCGCAGCGCUGGAGCUGACCUGUCACCAAGGGUCCCUUUGUAACUUCCUGUGACUGAUUCUUUAAUGGCAUCUAAUGAUGAUGCAAGGAAGCUGCCAGCUGGGAGUUUCGGCACCACUGAUUGCCCCCAUAAGGAGCCAGUGGGAUGGACACCAGCUCCUGCCCCUUGCCUGAAACAUCCCUGCAGACCCUCGGCCUGCACCGGUGCCCCACCGAAGGCCCCCACCUAUGGUUCUGCCCACACCCCAGGGUCUCUCCAGCUCACCACCACCCAGGGUCCUUCCAGCUCUCCUCCCCCAGGGUCCUUCCAGCUCUCCUCCCCCAGGGUCCUUCCAGCUCUCCUCCCCCAGGGUCCUUCCAGCUCUCCUCCCCCAGGGUCCUUCCAGCUCUCCUCCCCCAGGGUCCUUCCAGCUCUCCUCCUCCAGGGUCCUUCAAGCUCUCUCCCUCCAGGGUCCCUCCAGCUUUUCCUGCUCUAGAUUCCCUCCAGUUCUCCUCCCCCAGGGUCCCUCCCGCUCUCCCACUUAACCUCCCCGGGGUCCCUGCAGCUUUGGCUCCCGCCCCCAGGAUCCCUCCAGCUGGGUUUUCUCUUGCAUCCUGGGGCCUGGUGCUCUACCCCUCUCUGUCCACUUCCUGCCUCCAGGCUGUGUCCGAGCUCUGUGCACCUGACACCCACGUCUCCCCUCUUCAUCUGUCUAAAGCCUACCUGUGCUUUCACAGCACGUCUCAAAUAUCAUUUCAAAUGUCAAAUAACAGAAUGAUCUUUUAAAAAUAUAAAUCAGAUCAUGUCAUUUGUGCUUGAAACCUUUAAUGGUUUCUGAUUGCACAGUAAACCCAAGGCCCUUCUCUGGGGUCCAGGUCCCUGCCCACCUCAGUCCUUGUCCCCCUGUCCCCUUCACCACCAAGUUUAUCCCUGCCCUAGGGAUGUGGCACUUGCCAUAGCUUUGUAGGAAUGGCUUUCCCUGGUUCUGCAUGUGGCAAACUCUGUCUUGACACCCACGUCUCAGUUUAAAUAUCACAGAAUCUGCAGGAGAGCUUCUGUGCCCCCGGAUCUGAGGCAGCCCCUUCAGGAGCAGAAUUACAGCCCUAAAGACGUCCGUGCCCCAAUUGCUGGCACCUGUGAGUAUGUUAUGCUUUGUGGCAACAGGGGCUUUGCAGAAGGAAUGGAGGUUACAAAGUUUAAGGUUUCCUGGUUUACCUGUGGGGGCCCAGCAUAAUUACAAAUGUUCUUAGAUGUGGAAGGGAGAGGCGGGAGCAAGAAGCAGCGUGGGUCCACAUGAGAUGCAUGGACGGCUGUUGCUGGCUUUGGUUGUGGAGGAAGGGGCCGAGAGCUGAGGAAUGGGGUUCACAGGAGCAGGAAGCAUCCGUCAGCAAGGGAACCUCCGUCCUGCAGCUACAGGAGCUGAAUUCUGCCAACGACCCACACAAGCUGGAAACAGACACCCCCAGGGCCUCUAGAAGGAAGGCAGCUGGCAGACUGGGGCCCCCUAGAAAUGCUGCUGCCAUGUAAGAAGUGCCUUUUGCUUCCCGCCAUGAUUCUGAGUCCUCCCCAGCCAUGUGGAACCGUAAGUUCAGUUAAACCUCUUUUUCCUCCCAGUCUCAGGUAUGUCUUCAUCAGCAGCAUGAAAAUGGACUAAUACAUCAUGCUAGUCCCCAGUGUGUGGAACAGAGUCAGUGAGUGGAACAGAGUAGGUGCACACAUACACAUUAUUAUUUAUUGUUUAUUAAAAUAUAAAUUUAUUUAACAAAAUAUAUUAAUUCACAUAUAAAUUAUUAUGAUUUGUGAAACCUCUUUCUAACAUCUCAAAUAUAUUUACUAAUGAGAAAAAUCUUUUUUUAAAUUGUCAAAACCUGUGUCUCAACUUUUGGCUCAAAAACUGCAGUCCUGCUGUCUGCAGUGGCUUUGUGAGUUGCCUUAGGGAAGAACCAAGCAGGGAGGACAGACACUGCAGACCAGGCUGGGGUGAGGGUGUGGCUCUUGUCUCCUGGCCCCCACAUGUUCAAGAAGAAGGUGCUGGGGCCUCAUCUUGGCCCUUUGCCUCUUGCCUCUGCACUGUUUCCUUAGGAUGGAUCUGGGACAGAGCUAAUGGAGGCCCUUCUGGCGUGUCCUGAGGACUUUGGCUCAAUCUUGGUGAGUUUAGCUCCUCUGAGUUCUUCUUAAUGUUCUCCUUGGGGGCCAGUAGUUGCAGAUGGCUAGGAGAAGGUGGGGCAGCUCUGGUGCUCUCUGCACUGAGGAAGCACUCCUGCUGCCCUGUGCGUGCUUCUGUGGAUGCUGAGUGCAGUCUGGACAGGGUUGCCAGCCAGGGCUCCAGGUGUUCCCUUCCUGUAAGUGUGAUCAGGUCCUCCACCACAGGAAAUGCUCCCAGCCACCCACCUCCCACCCUCCACCCUCCACCCUCCGUCCUCCACCCUCCACUGCAGUUCUUCCCAGCUUCAUUUGCGGCUGCCCAGGGAAUAAUUCCAGGGAUAUAGUAAUGUCUGGUGUCUGGAUGGUCUCCAUGGGAUUAAAAAAGCAGCUGGUUUGGCAUUUCGGAGACAAAACAACCCUGCAGCAUGGAGUCAAACACUGCUUCUUCGCGGGAGAUGCGUCCUGUCAGGUGAACACCAGCAAAUCAAAAACCAAUUCAGCAGAGGGAUGAUUUUCGCCUUCCGGAAGAUGAAAUCACGAAAGCUCAGAGACAGCGCGCACUCUGUAGAAAGCCCAAAUCAAAUUAUUCUGCGGCCUGUGUAGAUUUCCUGUGCCUGGCACCCAGCUGCCUGCAUACAGGAAGUGCUCAUUACAGGCACAGCAGCAGAUGUCAGCCCCAAAGUGUCCAUUUUACUAGCUGGUGUUUCAGCAUCUGUCACGGGGAUCAACAAAGCACGACAGCCGUCAAUGUGCCUCCGUGUGGACUUUUGUGAUGCUGUAUUUUCUCUUGGGAGGGGCCCCUGAUUCUGGACAGAAUGCACUGGGUAAGUCUUUACGACUUCAUAGCCCCAGGCUCCUGGCCCAGGCAGGAUGAGGAAAGGAUGCUGCCCCAGGAUCGCCCGAAACGUUUGGUUUGUUUUGUGUGGCUGGACGUGGCCGAGUCCCUGCGGCCCCAGCAGCUCUCAGGCUUCCCUGCCCGGCUGCUGCCUCAGGGCUGCGCUGAGCUCAGGCCAGAGCAGCUUCCAGGGCCUCAUUUCAGUUGUUUUUAUCAUCUACGAGUUAUCCAGGGUUUCCAAUAAAUCACAUUCCAGGGCAAGCAGCGCAGAGAUGUGGGCCCUUAUUUCCUCUCCCAGGCUGAUAACAAUGAACAAGUGAUUUCCUGUCCAAAGCUGGGUACUCCAGCGAAAUGAGAAGUCCUAUCUCCAGGAAAAUAACACUGUCUCUCUCUCAGCCCCAACUCCAGCACACCAAGCAUGGACCGUCUCUGGCCCUUGGGCAAGCUGGAGCAGCCUUUCAUUUCCUCUCUGCCUAUUCAUGCACGCCCCACCCAUCUCCCAGUCCAGGCUGUGAUCCUCACCACCCAGCAAGCAGGCGAGGCAGGGCUAGGAACCCAUUUUACAGGUGAGAAAAGUGAGUUUGCCAGACAUUAAGUAACAUGGCCAGGGUCUCACCGGCAGUAAGUGGACAGGGCCAGGCCAGGUCGUCUCUGUGUUCCUAGGAGACCCCGUGAUGACCACUCAGCCCCCUCUGCUGCUGCUGGUUGAGGUGAGAGGUGCUUAUAACUCAGAGAUCUUUGUCAUUUGGGUUCUAAAAGCAAACUCCACCUUGUGACGCGCACCCCAAUCCGCCAGCAGCUUCAGAAGCAGCAUCUACCUGUAAGCUGCGCAGUCUCCCUCUCCCAUCUCAACAGCCUUCCUGUGUGCGGCUUCCCUCUCGGAUCUGCACAACCCCCUUGUUGAGAAGAGGCAGCAGGAGCAGUGUGGGCGGUCAUUGCCCUAUUUUACAGAUGAAGAGUCAGGGCAUUUAAACAAUUUGGUCUGGAUCUAUACAUAAGAGGAUGGAAGAGACCAGAGGAGACCUAGGCCUACUUAUCUAAAACCCAGUCACUGACGCUGGGACACAGAACUGUCCUUCCUCGUCUGCCCCCUGCCUGCUCAUGCUGUGUUGGUGGAGACCUUGUCUCUCUUGGUGCCGUGGGAACAGCGCUGGGCCCACCCAUCAAGGGCUCCCUGGAAGCGUGCUGAGCGUGUGGCAUGAGGAAAGAGUCACCAGCCACCCACGUUGCCUCCACACCGGGUGUCACUGUGACCUUAGCAGACAACAGGGUCCUCCCGAGGAGAGAACACAAUAGGCACACUGGAUGGGGGGAGAGGGUCCAAAAGCCCCAAGCAGGGGGCAGGUCUGGGCAGAGGAGAAGGUGCUGUGUCUGUGGUGGCACUGGAUGCCUUGGAAGGUGUGUGGCCUCCCUCCACGGCUGCCCAGGACCCAGGGUGCUGACCGUCUCUCCUGGAGUACGGCAGGGCCCAGGGGGCUGAGGCAGGGCCCAGGGGGCUGAGGCAGGGCCCCUUUUGGCAAAUUCUUCACUCAUAGAGGUUUCGUGUCUUUCUCUGUAAAAUGAGGAUGCGAACAUAGUUUGUCUUGCAGGAUAGCUGUGAUUAGAACAUGUGUGUAAAGCGCCUGUCAUGGCAGCGUCCUUCUCCUGGCGGCAAGUCUUCACUUGCAAAACAAGUCCUUUUAGAAACAGGCUUUGUGACAGCUGCUGCUAUCCAGUCAUCUUUAGAGCCCUGGAGUCCUCGCCAAGGGCACGGGCUCCCUUUGUGGUCCUGGAAUAAUGGGGCCUGCCCGGCACUCUCAGAUUGCAUGGGGAUCUGCUUGACUUAGGGUAAGGCUUUUGUGGGAUAAACUGCAGUGGCGCUAGAUCAAUUGUCAAGGUUUGGCCGACUCAUUUGAGAGACUGGGUUCAUGCCGUGCCAUUUCUUCUUCCCGUUGCAAGGCUCUGCAAGGAAUGUGGUGUCAGAAUUUUAGUGCCUCGUAUUUCCCACAAAUGAUAGCAGUAAGCUAACCGUGCGAUAGAGACAGCGCUUCAUGUUGUGCAAUUUGAGUUGCUGAGAUCCCCAGCUCUUGCGUCUUUGAAGCGGCGGCUCUGUGCAGAGGUGAGAUGGUGUUCCCAGCUCAUCGCAGCGUGCGCGGUAAUCUUAUGUUCAGGCACACACUCUUUUUGGAGAAAACAUACAUUCUUUAGUAUUCAUGUGGAUUUCACAGCAGUAAUGAGGAAACUCUAUUCCUUAGAGAAUGUUUUUAAUGUUAAAAAAAAAAAGGAUGACAUUCUUGGGAGGCAUUUUAGUUUUCCCGUUUUUAUUUUCUGACGGUUUUCAUAGACUAAAGACUGAGAAUGCAGGAAUACCUUAUCUUAUUCCAGAAAUUAUUUUUACCCAGACCUGUUGAUUUUCCCCUUAAAUUUGUAUAGAUGUUACACUCUAUCAUAUUUAGCUUAAACAUAGACUGAGCUCUCCUGGCUGUGUUACGAGGGCAACUGACUCUAGGAAUUGCUGCUUUUCUUCAUUUCCCAGAGCUCUGUGUUUCCCCAUCCCCGAAUCUCCCCACACCCCGUCAUAUUCAAAACACGUCACUGCUGCAAGAUCACGUAUUUUAUCUGCUCUCUAUUAUUAUUUAGUAAUUCUAUUUUGUAAGUGAACCUGGUUUUCCAUCAGGGUGUGUAGUGCGAGCAUGAAUGGAGCCGAUUUAUUGUCCUCCCAAUUAACUAAUUUUUCUAACCCAACUUAUUUGUUUUCUUUAAUACAUUCUUCUAUAGAACUUAAUAUGUGCAGGCCUUCUUUUUAGGGCUUUUCAUCUAUUAACUUAUAUAAUCCUCACAACCACCCAGUAAGAGAGAUAUUAUUAUUUUUAUUUGACUGGCGAAGAAAUGUAAAGCAAAGCCAAGUUAAGGAACUUGCUCAGGGUCACACAGCCGCUCGAUGACGGAAACAGGGCUCCCUCUGGACGGCCUGGCUGUGAGACCCGGGCUCUGGGUCUCUGCUCGGCCUCCCGCAGGUGUGAGUGCCAAACAGUGUCAAGGCUGAUCUUCCUAUCUGCAGCUUCCACACCUGCAAUUCAAUCGCCAUAGAUGGAAAAUAUUCAGGAAAAAAAAAACAGCACAACAAAAACUAAUACAAAUAAAACCGCUACACUCUAAUGACAACUAUUGACGUGGGAUUUGCGUUGUAUUAGCUAUUACAGGUAAUCUGGAGAUGACUUGAAGUAUAUGAGAGGAUGUGUGUAGGCUUCAUGCAAAUACAGCACCGUUUUAUAUCAGGACUUGAGCAUUCUCAGAUUUUGGUACUGCAGGGAGUCCUGAAACCAGUCCCUCGUGGGGAUCCAGGGAUGACUGUCUAGGCUGACUGCUGGUAUACACUGGGCAUGUUUCUGGGUCUCUGUUCUAGUCUAGUGAUCACUGUGUGUAUUUUUGCCCUAGUACUUCACCCAUUUACUUAUUGCCACUUUAUUUCAGCCUGACGUAUCCUAUAUGCAUCCAUGUUAUUGUUUUUUAAAAAUUUCCUUGCUUUUUUUUUUUUUUUGCUUUUCAUUCUUCUAGACAACAUUUAUAAUCAAUUUUGCUUACAAAAUUCUAUUGGAAGUUUGAGUUGCAUCAAAUUCAUAAAUUAGUUUAGCAAAAAUGUACAUCUUCUUAGCAUUUCUUUUUAGAUAUGGAAUAUACUGUAUUUCUCCAUUUGUUCAAAUAUUUUCUAUGGUGCUCUCUUGGGCUUAUGGAUUUAAUUAUUUGUGCCUGACAGACUUCUUGCAAGAUUAAUUUCCAGGUACUCAGUUUUAAAAUUGUGAAUAGAAUUCUUUUCCCAUUGUUUCUCUAACUGUUAAUGCUGAUAUGUAGGAAAACGACUGCUUUUUAUGUUCCUAUUACAAUUUUUUAAAAUAUUAGUAUAAUUCUACAUUAUUUUCUUUUUCUCAGGUAGGCAAUAAUAUCAAAUUUGAAUAAUGUCAAAAUUUCACCUUCCUUUUCAAAAAUUAUGUGUGAAUGUGUGUGUGUGUAUGUGAGUGUGUGUAUUUUAUAUAUAGAGAGAGAGAGUUUUCCCUCCUUUUAUUUUGUUGUGGAUCUGAGGGCAUGCUGGCCACAGUAAGCAGCCUUGUCUUUUCCAUUGUUUCAGUGAGAAUGCUACCAGAUUUACUGUUAGGUAUUUAUUGUUAGGUAGGUAUUGGCUACUGGCGUUGAGUAGGUGUUUUUAAUCAUGUUAAAGAAGCAUUUUUCUUUCCUAGUUUAUUAUAAGUUUUAGCAAAUGUCUUUUUACCAUCUAUUGACAUAAAUAUAGUCCUUUUUUCUCUUUAUUUCACAUAUCAUUUUUGCAUCUGUAUUCAUAAAAGACAUCUGUGUCUAGUUCCCUUUUUAGUCUGUCUUUGCUUGUGUCUCUAGGACAUUCUGGCUUUGGGAAAUGAAUUAUUGGGAAACAUGCCACCUUUUUGUGUUCUCUGGAAACACUUAUCUAGCAUGGAAAUCAUCUGUUCCAUGACAGUCUGAAAACCCAGCCUGUGAAAAUGUCUGUGGCUGGAAACUUGUGAGAAAUAAUUCUUCAACAACAUUUUCAAUUUCAUACAUGGCUUUUCAUUUAUUGCUUAUUGAUUCAAUUACGGUGACUCUUUUUUCUUAGACAAGAAAAGAACACACAUUGUUUAAAUAUCAACAUCAAGAAUGAAACAUACUGAUUUUUCUUAUAUAAAUUGAGUUGAUUGGCACACUUAUUUUCUUUUACUUUUCCUUCUAGCUCCUGUGUAUCUUUUUUCUCUUAUACUGUCACCGGGCUGUCUUUUACAUGAAAUGUUUUCAUUUUUGAGAAUUACGUGUGACAGAUGAAUGUAAUUUAUAACAAUUAUUUAGAGUUGUUUGAGUAAACAAUUUUGAUUCCCUUUGUCAAAUUUUUAUGUCGUGACUUUUCCAUCUUUGAAAGAUUAAAAAAAAUCUUUUUGUUGAUGGCCUAGAGCACAUUUCUGAGGAAAGAUGUGGAUAUCAGUUCUGCAACCUUAGCUGGGUAUGGAAUUUUGGAGUCAGAAACUUUCCUUUUAACUUUGAAGUAGUUGCUUCACUAUUUUCUAAUCUUUAAAGUUGUGUAAGAAAAAUUGAGUCCAGGCUGUUACUUAUUUCUUAAAGGAAAACGAUUUUUGCUAUUUUAUUGUUAACUCUAUGUUUAACAUGUUGAUAAACUGCUAAAAUGUUUUUAAAAAUGCAUACACAAUUUUACAUUUCCACCAGGAAUGCAUGAUGGUUGAAUUUCUCCACAUCCUCGUCAAUGCUUGUUAUUGUCUGUAGUUUUUACUUUAGCCAUCUUAUUUGGAUGUGAAGUGGUGUCUCAUUGUGGUUUUGAUUUGCGUUUCUUGAUGACUAAUAUGUUGAUCAUCUUUUCAUAUACUUAUUGGCCCUGUGUAUAUCUUCUUUGGACAGAUGUGUAUUAAAUUCCUUUGCCCAGUUUUUUGGUUGUCUUUUCACUAUUGAGUUAAGAAUUUCUUAUGUAUUCUGGAUACUAGAUCUUUGUUAGAUAUGUAAUCUGCAAAUCUUUUCAACUUUGCUUUUUAGAGUCAGGGCAUCACUCUGUCAUCCAGGCUGGAGUGAAAGCGGUGUGAUUAUAGUUUACUGCAACUUUGAACUCCUGGGCUCAAGCAAUCCUCCUGCCUCAGCCUCCUGAGUAGCUAGGACCACAGGCACACACUACCAUGCCUGGCUAAUUCUUUUUAAUUUUUAGUAGAGAAAAGGUCUCACUAUAUUGCCCAGGCUGGUUUCAAACUCCUGGGCUCAAGCAAUCCUCCUGCUUCGGCCUCUUGAGUAGCUAGGACUACAGGUGUGCAUCAACACACCUGGUUAAUUUUUUUCUCUUGAGAGACAGGGUUUUACUAUGUUGCCCAGAAUGUUCUCAAACUUUCCCUCAAACAAGCCUCCUGCCUUGGCCUCCCAAAGUCCUGGGAUUAUAGGCAUGAGCCACCACCAAUUUCUUGAUAGUGUCUUUGAAGCACAAGAGUUUUUAAUAAAGUUCAGUUUAUCUAUCUUUUUUCUGUUGUCACUUAUACUUUUGGUAUCAUAUCUAGGAAACAAUUACCCAAUACAAGGUCAUAAAAAUUUACUCCUAUGUUUUCUACUAGGAAUUUUAUAGUUUUAGCUCUUACAUUUAUUUCUAUGAUCCAUGUGGAGUUAAUUUUUGUACCUGAUGUAAGGUAGGAAUAUGCAUUUAUUCUUUGCAUGUGGAUAUCCAGGCUUGAAAAUACUAUUCUUUCUCCAUUGGAUUGUCUUGGUGCCGUUGUUGAAUAUCAACUGACCAUAGGUGUAAGGAUUUAUUUCUGGAUUCUUAAUUCUAUUCCAUCGAACCAUAUGUCUACACGUAGGUCAGUACCUCACUGUAUUGAUUACUAUAGCUUUGAAUUAAGUUUUGAAAUUGGGAAGAGUGAGUCCUCAAACUUUGUUCUUUUUCAAGAUUUCAGAUAAAAAAUACAAUAUUUACAGAAUGCAAAACUGAUGUAUAUGGAGGGCUGACUUUUUGAAUAAGCAGAUUCUGCCAGGUCAACCACUGGACUUGAGUAUGCACAGAUUUUGGCACAUGUGGGGUCCUGGACCCAAUUCCCUACAUAUACCAAGGGACAACUGAACUUUUUUUUUUAAAUCUUUUUACUUUCAACCUAUUUGUGUCUUUAAAUCUAAAGUGUCUCUUGUAGACAGCGUAUAGUUUGAUCAUGUUUUUAAACUCCUUCUGUCAGUCUUUGCCUUUGAAUUCAUUUGUUUCAUCCAUUUACAUUUAAUGUAGCUAUUCAUAAGCUAGGAUUUACAGCUGCCACUUAGCUAUUUUCUGUAUCUUAUGUCUCUUUUGUUUACCUAUUCAUCCAUUAUUGCCUUCUUUUGUGUUAAGUGGAUAUUUUGUAGUUACCAUUUAAAUAUCCUUGUUUCUUUUACUACAUUUUUUUCAAGUUGUCAUCUUAUUGGUUGAUAUGGUAAUUAAAAUUAACAUCUUAACUUAUAAUUAUCUAAUUAAUAUUAAUACCAAUUAAUUUCAAUACUAAAUAAAACCUUUGUUCCUACAUAGCCCCAUUCCAUCUCCCUUUCAUUGUGCUAUUAUUUCAUACAAAUUACAUGCUUAUAAAUAUAAGCCUGUAAACAUAGUUUUAUAAUUAUUACUUUAUUCAGUAGUCAUUCAUACUAGAUUAAAGUUACAAACAGAAAAAUACUCAUUCUUUUAAAUUUUUACCAAAGUGGUUAUCUUUACUUUUUUAUUUCUUCAUGCGAUUUCAUUUACUGUCUGGUAUCCUUUUACAUCAGCCUGAAGGACUUCCUCUACUUAAUUCAUGUAAGGAAUGUCUGAUAGCAAUGAAUUACCUCCAUUUUUCUUUACCUGGGAAUAUCUUUAUUUUUCCUUCGUUUUUCCACAUUAAAAAAUGUUUGCUGGGUAAACAUUUUAUUUUGGAAUUUUAAACAUACCCAAAAAGAAUUUUAUUACUAAGUCUUAAAAAAAUAACAUCCACAUUUUCUUGAGUUUUGUUGAGUUUGAAACAGAUGCUGCCUGAAAAUUACUUGUAUUUUCUACAGAAAUGCUGUGUGCUCAUUGCUUCUCUUUCUCUUAUAUGGCCAUAAAGUUUGCAGGUAUUUGCGUUAGUUAACUCAUUGCAGUAAGCUGUAUUACUACACAUCCAUUUCCAGUGUCCUUUCUGGGAGAGGAUUAUAUCUCCCUGCCCCUAAAGUCAGUCUUGUCCCUGUGAAUUGGUCAAGAAAGUUUGAACAGAACUAAUAGGUGUCAUUUCUGGGUGGACACUGUAAAAGCCGACCUGAGCUUCACCAUGCUGUUUGUCCCUUGUCAUUCAUCUGCCCAUGCUGUAGAUAGUGGCUUGGGUCCCAGAGUGAGGAUGAAAGUGACACUGAGUGGAGCUCCCAGGUAACCUGCAUGGGGAGGAGAAAUGGACCUUCAUUGUUGCAACUUUUUUUAAACAUAAUUUUUAAUAGAAAAUCGUUUCCAAAUGUUUCAAAAAUUAAGAAUAAAAAUAUGCUAAAAAGUAUGCAGUCUCCUUCAGUCUUUAUCUCCAUCUUCUCAGCGCCGUCUCAUCCCAUGCCUAGGAACCGUGAUCAUUAAUUAUUUAAUGUAUAUUUCCAGAGGGUGUUUACGUGUCUAUGGCAAAUAUGCCACCCACAUGCUCACACACAGAUCUUCACCUAUUGUUAAUUGACAGAUGCACCAUCCCACUGUGCUGCAUAUGGCUUCUUAAAUUUAAUAUACCUUGAAGAUCUGUAUAUAUUAAUAUUUUUAUUUAUUUUACAGUUAUCUAGCAUUUCAUUUAUGGUUGUGUAAUCAUUUAUUCAUGAAAGUGUUGGCCAGGUGCAGAGGCUCACGCCUGUAAUCCCAGCACUUUGGGAAGCUGAGGCGGGUGGAUCGCUUGAGGCCAGGAGUUCGAGACCAGCCUGGCUGACAUGGUGAAACCUUGUCUCUACUAAAAAUACAAAAAUUAGCUGGGCGUGGUGGUGCAUGCCUGUAGUCCCAGCUACUCAGGAGGCUGAGGUGGGACAACUGCUUGAACCCAUGAGGCAGAGGUUGCAGUGAGCUGAGAUCGCGCCACUCCACUCCACCCUGGGCAACAGAGCAAGACACUGUCUCAAAAAAAAAAAAAAAAAAAAAGGCAAAGAAAAUGUUAUUCUUGAAAUCUUGAAAUUUCACCACAAGAGCAUGUUAAGAAUAGAUGCUCUUCUUUUCAUCCUUUCAGGCACUUUGGAGACUCUCUCAAUCUCAUGUUUCAUGCUUUUUUUCCAACUCCUGAAAAUUUUAUCUCAUUACUUAAAAAAUAUUUCAUCAGCUCCUGUCUUGGUUUUCUCUUCUAUGCAACUCUUAUUACAAAAUACUCUGGAUUGAUUCAUUGUCUUGAAUUUUUCCUCAUAUGUUAUCUUUAUCUUUUUCUUAUGUUUUGAAUUUUUCCUGAGCUCUGUCUUCUAGAAAAUCAAUUAAAUCUUCAGCAACAUAAUCUUUUGUUUUUAAGUUUUUCAGAUCUUCUGCCUCUGUCUCUGGGUGCUAACCCCCUGGUGGGAGAUUCCUGUCUUCCUGUGUGCUUGGUUUUAUUUCUGUAGCUCUUUGGCUUGAUCCUGGAGGCGGCCCUACUGCUGCGAGUGACUGCAGGUGGGAAGGAGUGGUUUUGGGAUUGCAGACAUUCCUUCAAUUAACCAGCCAGAUUUCAGCCUCAUGGUCCCACAGCUCAACCUGCUUGCUGGAGCCCUGUGCCCUGGCGGAAGAGGGGCUUCCACCCUCACCGUUCAGCUGCAGCCAAUGAUCAUCUGCCACAGCCUGCCUGUCCUGUGAUCCCGCCUACGUUCCGUCUUCUGGAAAGCCACCUGACUGGUCUGCUUAAGGCUCCCGUGCUCGCUGCUUUGCUCUGUGUGGAUUAAUGUACUUUGGUGAAUUCUUAUUGUCAUGCCAUAAAAUUUAGAAAGAAAACUAGGAAAAUCCAUCUGCUAAUUCUACUAUUUUGAAAGGAGAACUCAGUGGGGAAGGGUUAUUGGCAGAGACAGAGGGAAACAGGCAUUUGGACAACAGGGAAUUGCCUGGACUUUGAUGGGAACAGGGAGCUUGCUCGGACUUCAGGGCUGGUGGCUGCUCACUCAUCAGAAUGACCCUUCCUCUUGGGGGAGGGAAGUCGUCAGAGGGCCCUGCAGGUUGGGGUGGAGAGGACCCAAACGCAGGUUCUACCCUGGCCUGGAUCAGAGCCUGUCACCUCUAAUGGCUAACGUUGUCUCUUUAGUACCCUUUACCCAACUCCACAUGAUGGCUAACAUUGUCUCUUUAAUAUCCUUUACCCAACUCCACAUUAUGAAGAUUCUGCCUAGAGAAGAAGUGGUUGUUCUGCUUACCUGGUAACAUGUGUACCCAGAUCCACGCUAUCAUGGGCCCUCACAGCUUCCCCUGGAUAUAUGGCAGGAGGAACGUGCUGCUCAUUCUUGAAAUUCACUUCCCCAGAAGACACGGCAACCAUGAACACUGGAUCAGAGGUGGGGAAGCUGCCUGGCUUCCACUGGGCCCCACCCAUCCACCCAUCUUGGCCUCCCCAUUCUCUCUGUCCAUGGGUGGUGACAAGCUUUGCCUUGACCUGAGCCCACAUACCUAGGUUUGCACCUUCUCUGGAGUGAAAGAGGAGGUGAGUUAUUUUAAUCUUGAAGAUCCCAGGUCAGAACAUCAGUUUUCUAGUCCAAGCGCUGCCUCACCGUCUUCAUUUAUAAAAUGAGAGAGGGGAUGCACUGUUCCCCAAAUCUGAGACCCAGGGUGUACAUGAUUGGAGCCAAGUCUCACAGCGGGGGAGGAGUGGCUCUGGCACUUGAGUUCAGUUUGUCUGGCUCCAAAUCUGUAGGGAGUGGGGGUCUCCCUUAGAUAAGUAGGUUAAGAUCCUUUUGUGGUUCAUAAGCAUGAUGAUUGGGUUUUCAUGCUCAUGUGUGAGAUAUGCCUCUCUCAAGCCUUGUUAUGACAUCACAUUACCUGUCUGAUGUUACAAAAAAAAAAAAAAGAGAA